AGUGAACGCUGGCGGUAGGCCUAACACAUGCAAGUCGAACGGCAGCACAGGAGAGCUUGCUCUCUGGGUGGCGAGUGGCGGACGGGUGAGGAAUACAUCGGAAUCUACUUUUUCGUGGGGGAUAACGUAGGGAAACUUACGCUAAUACCGCAUACGACCUACGGGUGAAAGCAGGGGAUCUUCGGACCUUGCGCGAUUGAAUGAGCCGAUGUCGGAUUAGCUAGUUGGCGGGGUAAAGGCCCACCAAGGCGACGAUCCGUAGCUGGUCUGAGAGGAUGAUCAGCCACACUGGAACUGAGGCACGGUCCAGACUCCUACGGGAGGCAGCAGUGGGGAAUAUUGGACAAUGGGCGCAAGCCUGAUCCAGCCAUACCGCGUGGGUGAAGAAGGCCUUCGGGUUGUAAAGCCCUUUUGUUGGGAAAGAAAUCCAGCUGGUUAAUACCCGGUUGGGAUGACGGUACCCAAAGAAUAAGCACCGGCUAACUUCGUGCCAGCAGCCGCCGCCG
Molecule: ribosomal RNA, 506 nt
Filed under: uncultured bacterium
Lineage: Bacteria
Description: partial 16S ribosomal RNA
Rfam family: Bacterial small subunit ribosomal RNA
Source: RNAcentral